RNAcentral lists this long non-coding RNA (438 nucleotides) under Physcomitrium patens. RNAcentral describes it as "long non-coding RNA (PPAT_LNC008344)". The record is from RNAcentral. Lineage: Eukaryota; Viridiplantae; Streptophyta; Bryopsida; Funariales; Funariaceae.
CAACCCACAGCUAGAACAACCAACCGCAUUACAGUAUUAGCUAGCGCUGCAACCAUUGGUUCGCACCCCUCGCAAAUUUCAUUGCAGAUACUAGAUUGAGUACCAUAGUGAACCGUAACUUGUGCAGGAAUUGGAUUGAUUCUGAAUGUGGGCAUUGAAGUCAGGAGUCUAGAGUCUUCCUUCCUCCAUUCAGAGUGGAAGAAAGGGGCUGAAAAAUUUCGGGGAAUCUAGCUAAGGUCCUUUGUCUUCCCGUAAUCAACUAGCAGUCCAUUGCUAUGUCUCGAUUGUUGCUUCAGAUGUUACUGCAUUUAGGUCUUUUCUUAAGAGAAUACAGUGGGAUUCCUCCCUAGUACUUCAACAUUAAAUCACUGGUUUGCCAAUUGGAUUGGCUAAUUUUGCACUAAUUUCCGGUCCUCUACAUACAUUCUGAAGUCCCCG